Molecule: small RNA, 781 nt
Filed under: Histoplasma capsulatum var. duboisii H88
Lineage: Eukaryota; Fungi; Ascomycota; Eurotiomycetes; Onygenales; Ajellomycetaceae
Description: Histoplasma capsulatum H88 hypothetical RNA
Source: RNAcentral
CUCUACAAUAGUGGGUAAAACGAUUUUGAAGCAGAAUUACCAGAUUCAAGUACCUCAAAAAGAGACCUUCAACUGUCUCUUUGAUCAAGUUAUUUUUUGCAAUCAUUGAUGCAUGCAAUGCCCCUGAUACGCUUGCUGCCUCUCAUAUGUGCUACAAUUGAUCGAAUUUUGCAAUCAUGAUGCAGAUGCUUCUCAUAUUGCACCACCUCUUUACCGCGUUGCCUAUGUCGGCUAGGCCACACCACCACACCCACGGGUAUAUAUAUCACUAUGAGCGCAACCAUUCAACAAAUGGUUACGUUGGCCUUUUGCUAUGGGUAACCUAGUGGUCAGAGUGCUACAUUAUCACAUAACAAUAUGACCAACAUAAUUUGUAUUUCAAAUAGUACUAAGGUCACCAAUUGGUAGUACGCCCGUUACAACAAUGAUUCAAAUAAAGAAAUUCAAAUAAAAUAAAAAUAUAAAAGAGGAAGGAAAUAAUGAAAAAGAAACAAAUAACACAAGGCCCGCUGAGGUAUAAUUCUCAAAUGCAAAAAAAAAAAAAAUUAAAAAAAAAAAAUUAUAUAAAUAUACAUUAAAUCAACAGGAUCGCGAAAGUAAAUAAAGCAAUAAUAUAAUAAAUAUUGCGCACCGCCGAAAUGGACUUGAAAAUGUAAAUAAUAUAAAAAGAUUGGGGAGCCUGGACAGAGUGAGGUGAUACAAAAUCUAUUCAAUCUACUGCUUCCUCCGCCGGGUCCCAGUACGGAGAGGAAGGAUAGGACGACUCCUAUAGUCGCAGAGC